This 942-nucleotide ribosomal RNA is filed under the name uncultured bacterium. Its description in RNAcentral is "bacterial SSU rRNA". It matches the Rfam family "Bacterial small subunit ribosomal RNA", at positions 541 to 1501 of the family's 1533-position model. The record is from RNAcentral.
GCGUACUGGAAUACUGCGCGUAAGCGUGCGCAGGCGGCUUUGCAGACAGAUGUGAAAUCCCCGGGCUCAACCCGGGAACUGCAUUUGUGACUGCACGGCUAGAGUGCGGCAGAGGGGGAUGGAAUUCCGCGUGUAGCAGUGAAAUGCGUAGAUAUGCGGAGGAACACCGAUGGCGAAGGCAGUCCCCUGGGCCUGCACUGACGCUCAUGCACGAAAGCGUGGGGAGCAAACAGGAUUAGAUACCCUGGUAGUCCACGCCCUAAACGAUGUCAACUGGUUGUUGGACGGCUUGCUGUUCAGUAACGAAGCUAACGCGUGAAGUUGACCGCCUGGGGAGUACGGCCGCAAGGUUGAAACUCAAAGGAAUUGACGGGGACCCGCGCAAGCGGUGGAUGAUGUGGUUUUAUUCGAUGCAACGCGAAAAACCUUACCUACCCUUGACAUGCCAGGAACUUGCCAGAGAUGGCUUGGUGCUCGAAAGAGAACCUGGACACAGGUGCUGCAUGGCCGUCGUCAGCUCGUGUCGUGAGAUGUUGGGUUAAGUCCCGCAACGAGCGCAACCCUUAUCAUUAGUUGCUACGCAAGGGCACUCUAAUGAGACUGCCGGUGACAAACCGGAGGAACGUGGGGAUGACGUCAGGUCAUCAUGGCCCUUAUGGGUAGGGCUACACACGUCAUACAAUGGCCGGUACAGAGGGCUGCCAACCCGCGAGGGGGAGCUAAUCUCAGAAAACCGGUCGUAGUCCGGAUCGCAGUCUGACACUCGACUGCGUGAAGUCGGAAUCGCUAGUAAUCGCGGAUCAGCUUGCCGCGGUGAAUACGUUCCCGGGUCUUGUACACACCGACCGUCACCCCAUGGGACCGGGUCCUGCAGAAGUACUACCCCAACGAAGGGAGCGAUUACAGGCAGCGUCGUGAUGGGGUAAGUCGUACAAGUACAGG